GUGACAUGUGAGCUCGUGUCCAGGCCUGUAUUACCGGAGGUGGACAGUGCAGGUGAGGCAGGUGAGCAGCCUUCCCAAGCAAUGGAGCUUCUGCUUAGAAUCCACAGGGAGGCCCAGGCCACAGAAGCUUAAUCCUGAGGUGGUCUCUCUGGGAAGCUUCUGACAAGUGGCUGUCGUCCUCACCAUGCUGAGCGUGGAGUCGAGCCAAGAGGGCUUCCUGGGAGCGGUAAUUACUGGUGGAGCGACUGAGGCUGAGAGACGGAAGGAACUGAAGUAGUCAAACUAUGGCCCUGUGGGGCCUUGAGGAGAAUCCAGGCCAAACCUCUUUCACCUGCCCCUCCUGAGGACCAGAUACUACUACCAAUACCUCCAUUUUGCAGAUGAGGAAAUGGAGGCACAGGGAAGGUAGGUCACUUGCCCACAAUCAGGUAGGGGGUGGUGCUGAUUUGAGCUGAGCCUAGUUCCAUAGUCUUUCCUCUUCUUCUCUGCACUAUGCUGCUGAAUAGGGAAACUGAGGCCAAGGCAGGAGUGGCUGGAGA
RNAcentral lists this long non-coding RNA (539 nucleotides) under Capra hircus (goat). RNAcentral describes it as "lncRNA (ENSCHIG00000007962.1)". Lineage: Eukaryota; Metazoa; Chordata; Mammalia; Artiodactyla; Bovidae. The record is from RNAcentral.